This 442-nucleotide ribosomal RNA is filed under the name uncultured bacterium. RNAcentral's name for it is "partial 16S ribosomal RNA". It matches the Rfam family "Bacterial small subunit ribosomal RNA", at positions 338 to 795 of the family's 1533-position model. The record is from RNAcentral.
CCUACGGGGGGCAGCAGUAGGGAAUCUUUCACAAUGGGCGAAAGCCUGAUGGAGCAACGCCGCGUGCAGGAUGAAGGCCUUCGGGUUGUAAACUGCUUUUAUAAGCGAGAAAUAUGAUGGUAACUUAUGAAUAAGGAUCGGCUAACUACGUGCCAGCAGCCGCGGUCAUACGUAGGAUCCGAGCAUUAUCCGGAGUGACUGAGUGUAAAGAGUUGCGUAGGUGGCAUAAUAAGUAGCUAGUGAAAUCUGGUGGCUCAACCAUUCAGACUAUUAGCUAAACUGUUAAGCUCGAGACCGUUAGGGGUAACUGGAAUUUCUAGUGUAGGAGUGAAAUCCGUAGAUAUUAGAAGGAACACCAAUAGCGUAGGCAGGUUGCUGGGACGGUUCUGACACUAAGGCACGAAAGCGUAGGGAGCAAACGGGAUUAGAUACCCCAGUAGUC